This 74-nucleotide transfer RNA is filed under the name Sus scrofa (pig). It matches the Rfam family "tRNA". From Rfam's summary of the family: Transfer RNA (tRNA) molecules are approximately 80 nucleotides in length. The record is from Rfam by way of RNAcentral. Lineage: Eukaryota; Metazoa; Chordata; Mammalia; Artiodactyla; Suidae.
UCCCGCGUGGCCUAGUGGGUUAAGGAUCCAGUGUUGUCACUGCUGUGGCUCAGGUUCGAUCCCUGGCCCGGGAA